CGCCCAUAGAUUGGAAAUGACUACUUCAGAGUGAUGUCCAGUUAGAAGCUAGCUGAAAAGUUCGUAGCCAGUCGUGGGCAGUUCAGGCUAUGCUGUAGUGAAAGGAGUGCUGCUUGCAAGGAAAGUACUCGUUUUAGUCAGUAAGUAUAUUCUCCUGCUGAAAAGGUCAUCUGAUUAGGAGUUACAUACAUUAUUGUAGUGGUAAUAUAUGAUCUUACAACAGGACGUCCAGUUAGCUGGGCAGGAGCUCUGUGCAGUUCGUAGGCUGAAGUGAAACGAGUAGCCUACUGCUCGCGUCAAUGAAAAUAUGUUUGUGUCAGUAGGUCUGAUGUACUCGUGUAACUACUAUCCUGCUGAUUAAGUCAUCUGAUUAUUGAGAUUUUUACCUUCUUUCCAUGUAGUAAUGUAUGAUCUUACAACGGGACGUCCAGUUAACUGGGCAGGAGCUCUGUGCAGUUUGUAGCCUAUGGCUGAAGUGAAACGAGGUCAACGAAAAUAUUACUAGGCCAAUUUGUGUCAAUUCAAAAACACUUAUCUUUUUAUUUACAUAGUACAAUGGAGUAGAGUACAAUAAUCAAAAAUCCUAUAAACAUCACUGUUUAAAAUACAGUAGGUACAGUCAGUAGGUCUAAUGUAAUCUUGUAACUAUCCUGCUAACAUCUGAUUGAGAUUAUUACCUUCUUUCCAUGUAGCCUAAUAUGUGAUCUUACAACUCUGGUAACUAAAACUGGAGACAUUUGCUACUUUGUGCUACCUGCUCAUUCAAAAUUACGAAAUAACAGCAGGGAAAUUAUGUUUGUUUUUACAGGUUAUUAAAAGAAUGACCCAGGUUCCUGAGGAGCUGACCUGAAUGACCAUCAUGGCCUCGAUCCGUUGUGCCUCUAUAUUCUUUGCAAAAUGCAAUGAAUAUUUACAGAGCUGACCAUGGCCGUUUGAGAAUCAGAGGAAUGGAAAGGCAAUGAAGUGACUUGGCCUACAGGUCUUUUGUGAGCAGGAGCUGGGGUUUCCUUAGAAGAAGCGUCCGUGUCAUGAUCCCCUCGUGUGUGGUGCUACGCAUAUGGAGGGAGCUUCCGGAUACUUCAGGGCAGUACGUUGGAUUCAGACCCCUUUUCGACUGAACGCAUGUUCAGCAACAGCAUCCUCCAUGGAAGGUCUGUCAAGCUGAGCACACAAGUCCUGGGGCACAGGAAUCCGCUGGACGGCAUCCCAAUAAGGAAGAGGGUCUUUGAUCUCGAAGAGGACAAGAAAGAGGACUUAUAUUGGAUAAUGUAAUACAGUGCAUUGUAGGCUGUAUACUGUACAAUAAACAAAUUGUAUGGCCCUGAACAUUGUGCUUUGUUUACAGUACUGAUGAUGAUUUCGACACCAGUAGCAUCAGGUCUAAGACAGCCUGUUGUGUGUGAAUCGAUAAGUUCUUUUUAGU
This is a long non-coding RNA of Alosa alosa (allis shad), 1423 nucleotides long. RefSeq lists it as uncharacterized. Lineage: Eukaryota; Metazoa; Chordata; Actinopteri; Clupeiformes; Clupeidae. The transcript has 3 exons. The record is from RefSeq and is a predicted model, not a curated record.